ACAUACGACCACAGCCGCCAGUAAAACUCACGAUCCCGUCUGAUCUCGCACGAUAAUCUGGCGAGCGCCGGAUUAGUAGUUGGGUCGGUGACGACCAGCGAAUACCCGGUGUUGUAUGUU
Metarhizium robertsii ARSEF 23 is the source of this 120-nucleotide non-coding RNA. The record is from Rfam. Lineage: Eukaryota; Fungi; Ascomycota; Sordariomycetes; Hypocreales; Clavicipitaceae.